CUGGAACUCUGUCAGGUCCACGUUCAGGGCGCCGUCGAAGCGCAGGGAGGCGGUGAUGGAGGAGACUAUCUGUCCAAUCAGCCUGUUGAGGUUGGUGUAGGUGGGACGCUCAAUGUCCAGGUUCCUGCGGCAGAUGUCGUAGAUGGCCUCGUUGUCCACCAUGAAGGCGCAGUCAGAGUGCUCCAGGGUGGUGUGGGUGGUCAGGAUGGA
Dicentrarchus labrax (European seabass) is the source of this 210-nucleotide long non-coding RNA. RefSeq lists it as uncharacterized. Lineage: Eukaryota; Metazoa; Chordata; Actinopteri; Moronidae. The transcript is spliced from 2 exons. The record is from RefSeq and is a predicted model, not a curated record.